RNAcentral lists this ribosomal RNA (883 nucleotides) under Russula ilicis. Its description in RNAcentral is "eukaryotic LSU rRNA". It matches the Rfam family "Eukaryotic large subunit ribosomal RNA", at positions 74 to 931 of the family's 3401-position model. The record is from RNAcentral. Lineage: Eukaryota; Fungi; Basidiomycota; Agaricomycetes; Russulales; Russulaceae.
AUUCCCCUAGUAACUGCGAGUGAAGCGGGAAAAGCUCAAAUUUAAAAUCUGGUGGCCUUUGGCCAUCCGAGUUGUAAUUUAGAGAAGCGUCUUCCGCGCUGGACCGUGCACAAGUCUCCUGGAAUGGAGCGUCAUAGAGGGUGAGAAUCCCGUCUUUGGCACGGACUCCCAGGGCUUCUGCGAUGCGCUCUCGAAGAGUCGAGUUGUUUGGGAAUGCAGCUCAAAAUGGGUGGUGAACUCCAUCUAAAGCUAAAUAUUGGCGAGAGACCGAUAGCGAACAAGUACCGUGAGGGAAAGAUGAAAAGCACUUUGGAAAGAGAGUGAAACAGUACGUGAAAUUGUUGAAAGGGAAACGCUUGAAGUCAGUCGCGUCGACCGAGACUCAGCCUUGCUUCAUCGGCUUGGUGUACUUCUCGGCUGACGGGUCAGCAUCAACUUCGAUCCUCGGACAAUGGCAAGGGAAAGGUAGCACCUUUCUAGGUGUGUUAUAGUCCUCUGUCGCACGCGAGGGUCGGGAUUGAGGAACUCAGCACGCACCUCUCGGUGUCGGGGCUUCGGCCCACGUUACGUGCUUAGGAUGCUGGCGUAAUGGCUUUAAACGACCCGUCUUGAAACACGGACCAAGGAGUCUAACAUACCCGCGAGUGUUCGGGUGGAAAACCCGUGCGCGUAAUGAAAGUAAAAGUUGGGACCUCUGUCGUGGAGGGCACCGACGCCCGGACCAGACCUUCUGUGACGGCUCUGCGGUAGAGCGUGUAUGUUGGGACCCGAAAGAUGGUGAACUAUGCCUGAAUAGGGUGAAGCCAGAGGAAACUCUGGUGGAGGCUCGUAGCGAUUCUGACGUGCAAAUCGAUCGUCAAAUUUGGGUAUAGGGGCGAAAGAC